RNAcentral lists this ribosomal RNA (415 nucleotides) under uncultured bacterium. RNAcentral describes it as "bacterial SSU rRNA". It matches the Rfam family "Bacterial small subunit ribosomal RNA", at positions 355 to 786 of the family's 1533-position model. The record is from RNAcentral.
UGGGGAAUAUUGCACAAUGGGGGAAACCCUGAUGCAGCGACGCCGCGUGAAGGAAGAAGUAUCUCGGUAUGUAAACUUCUAUCAGCAGGGAAGAUAAUGACGGUACCUGACUAAGAAGCCCCGGCUAACUACGUGCCAGCAGCCGCGGUAAUACGUAGGGGGCAAGCGUUAUCCGGAUUUAUUGGGUUUAAAGGGUGCGCAGGCGGAAAGUGCAAGUCAGCGGUCAAACGACGGGGCUCAACCCCGGGACUGCUUUGGAAACUGUAGGUCUAGAGUGCCGGAGAGGUAAGCGGAAUUCCUAGUGUAGCGGUGAAAUGCGUAGAUAUUAGGAGGAACACCAGUGGCGAAGGCGGCUUACUGGACGGUAACUGACGUUGAGGCUCGAAAGCGUGGGGAGCAAACAGGAUUAGAUACC